CACCUGGUGGCGAGUGGCGAACGGGUGAGUAAUACAUCAGAACAUGUCCUGUAGUGGGGGAUAGCCCGGCGAAAGCCGGAUUAAUACCGCAUACGAUCUACGGAUGAAAGCGGGGGACCUUCGGGCCUCGCGCUAUAGGGUUGGCCGAUGGCUGAUUAGCUAGUUGGUGGGGUAAAGGCCUACCAAGGCGACGAUCAGUAGCUGGUCUGAGAGGACGACCAGCCACACUGGGACUGAGACACGGCCCAGACUCCUACGGGAGGCAGCAGUGGGGAAUUUUGGACAAUGGGCGAAAGCCUGAUCCAGCAAUGCCGCGUGUGUGAAGAAGGCCUUCGGGUUGUAAAGCACUUUUGUCCGGAAAGAAAUCCUUGGUUCUAAUAUAGCCGGGGGAUGACGGUACCGGAAGAAUAAGCACCGGCUAACUACGUGCCAGCAGCCGCGGUAAUACGUAGGGUGCGAGCGUUAAUCGGAAUUACUGGGCGUAAAGCGUGCGCAGGCGGUUUGCUAAGACCGAUGUGAAAUCCCCGGGCUCAACCUGGGAACUGCAUUGGUGACUGGCAGGCUAGAGUAUGGCAGAGGGGGGUAGAAUUCCACGUGUAGCAGUGAAAUGCGUAGAGAUGUGGAGGAAUACCGAUGGCGAAGGCAGCCCCCUGGGCCAAUACUGACGCUCAUGCACGAAAGCGUGGGGAGCAAA
This 694-nucleotide ribosomal RNA is filed under the name uncultured beta proteobacterium. Its description in RNAcentral is "bacterial SSU rRNA". It matches the Rfam family "Bacterial small subunit ribosomal RNA", at positions 81 to 772 of the family's 1533-position model. The record is from RNAcentral. Lineage: Bacteria; Pseudomonadati; Pseudomonadota; Betaproteobacteria.